GAUGAAGAACGUAGCGAAAUGCGAUACGUAAUGUGAAUUGCAGAUCUCUCAGUGAACCAUCGAAUUUUUGAACGCACAUAGCGCCCGCCGGUCAUUCCGGCGGGCAUGCCUGUCCGAGCGUCGAUGACGCCGCUCGAGCCCCCGUGCUCGGUGUUGGGGCGCUAGGUCUCCCAGAGGCCUAGGCCCCCAAGUAGCAGUGCGCGGUCCGGCUGCGGGCCCCGGGUACAGUAACUUCACUGUUGAGAUGCCCUGGGAGCCGCUGGCUGGGUCAGCCGUAGAACCCCCGACAUAGGCCUUCCUGUCCGCCCCCGGCGGGGAGGGAGACCGCCUAAUGUUGACCUCGGAUCAGGUAGGACUACCCGCUGAACUUAAGCAUAUCAAUAAGCGGAGGA
Molecule: unclassified non-coding RNA, 392 nt
Filed under: soil metagenome
Description: partial contains 5.8S ribosomal RNA, internal transcribed spacer 2, and large subunit ribosomal RNA
Rfam family: 5.8S ribosomal RNA (bases 1-123)
Source: RNAcentral